This 447-nucleotide ribosomal RNA is filed under the name uncultured Armatimonadota bacterium. Its description in RNAcentral is "bacterial SSU rRNA". It matches the Rfam family "Bacterial small subunit ribosomal RNA", at positions 28 to 452 of the family's 1533-position model. The record is from RNAcentral. Lineage: Bacteria; Bacillati; Armatimonadota.
GACGAACGCUUGCGGCGUGCCUAAGAAAUGCAAGUCGAGCGAGGUCUUGCGCUGUCCAAAGCUUCGGCAGCGGACUUGCAAGCCCUAGCGGCGAACGGUCGCGUAACACGUAAGCAACCUGCCCUGAAGUGGGGGAUAGCCCGCCGAAAGGCGGAGUAAUACCGCAUGUGUCCCGACAGGCGCAUGUCAGUCGGGAUAAAGCAGCAAUGCGCUUCAGGAUGGGCUUGCGGCCUAUCAGCUAGUUGGUGGGGUAACGGCCUACCAAGGCGACGACGGGUAGCUGGUCUGAGAGGAUGGUCAGCCGGAUUGGGACUGAGAUACGGCCCAGACUCCUACGGGGGGCAGCAAUUAGGAAUCUUGCGCAAUGGGGGAAACCCUGACGCAGCGACGCCGCGUGAGCGAUGAAGUCUCUAGGGAUGUAAAGCUCUGUCCUGCGGGGAAGAAGAA